AUCCGCGUGGUGCAGUGGUUAGCAUGGUGCUGUAAGUAUGCAUAGGUCGUGGGUUCAAUCCCCACCGUGGAUA
Molecule: non-coding RNA, 73 nt
Organism: Daldinia caldariorum
Lineage: Eukaryota; Fungi; Ascomycota; Sordariomycetes; Xylariales; Hypoxylaceae
Source: the annotation of a RefSeq genome assembly